Molecule: ribosomal RNA, 220 nt
Filed under: uncultured bacterium
Lineage: Bacteria
Description: partial 16S ribosomal RNA
Rfam family: Bacterial small subunit ribosomal RNA
Source: RNAcentral
UAAUGUAUGGGGAUCUGCCCGAUAGAGGGGGAUAACUACUGGAAACGGUGGCUAAUACCGCAUAAUAUCUACGGACCAAAGCAGGGGCUCUUCGGACCUUGCACUAUCGGAUGAACCCAUAUGGGAUUAGCUAGUAGGUGGGGUAAAGGCUCACCUAGGCGACGAUCUCUAGCUGGUCUGAGAGGAUGAUCAGCCACACUGGGACUGAGACACGGCCCAG